AGGUUUUCAACAUUGAUGGGAGGCAGUUUUGAACAUGUGAGAGCCACGAAAACAGGUGUCUAUGAAGCAUGUGCAAGCACACUUCGCGCA
This is a long non-coding RNA of Myotis davidii, 90 nucleotides long. RefSeq lists it as uncharacterized. The record is from RefSeq and is a predicted model, not a curated record. Lineage: Eukaryota; Metazoa; Chordata; Mammalia; Chiroptera; Vespertilionidae. The transcript has 3 exons.